Molecule: ribosomal RNA, 465 nt
Filed under: uncultured bacterium
Lineage: Bacteria
Description: partial 16S ribosomal RNA
Rfam family: Bacterial small subunit ribosomal RNA
Source: RNAcentral
GAUGAACGCUGGCGGCGUGCUUAACACAUGCAAGUCGAACGGAAAGGCUCCUGCUUGCCGGGGUACUCGAGUGGCGAACGGGUGAGUAACACGUGGGUGAUCUGCCCUGCACUUCGGGUUAAGCCUGGGAAACUGGGUCUAAUACCGGAUAGGACGAUGGUUUGGAUGCCAUUGUGGAAAGUUUUUCGGUGUGGGAUGAGCUCGCGGCCUAUCAGCUUGUUGGUGGGGUAAUGGCCUACCAAGGCGUCGACGGGUAGCCGGCCUGAGAGGGUGUACGGCCACAUUGGGACUGAGAUACGGCCCAGACUCCUACGGGAGGCAGCAGUGGGGAAUAUUGCACAAUGGGCGCAAGCCUGAUGCAGCGACGCCGCGUGGGGGAUGACGGCCUUCGGGUUGUAAACUCCUUUCGCUAGGGACGAAGCGCAAGUGACGGUACCUGGAGAAGAAGCACCGGCUAACUACGUG